This 927-nucleotide ribosomal RNA is filed under the name Pediococcus pentosaceus. RNAcentral describes it as "bacterial SSU rRNA". It matches the Rfam family "Bacterial small subunit ribosomal RNA", at positions 382 to 1303 of the family's 1533-position model. Lineage: Bacteria; Bacillati; Bacillota; Bacilli; Lactobacillales; Lactobacillaceae. The record is from RNAcentral.
UCUGAUGGAGCACGCCGCGUGAGUGAAGAAGGGUUUCGGCUCGUAAAGCUCUGUUGUUAAAGAAGAACGUGGGUAAGAGUAACUGUUUACCCAGUGACGGUAUUUAACCAGAAAGCCACGGCUAACUACGUGCCAGCAGCCGCGGUAAUACGUAGGUGGCAAGCGUUAUCCGGAUUUAUUGGGCGUAAAGCGAGCGCAGGCGGUCUUUUAAGUCUAAUGUGAAAGCCUUCGGCUCAACCGAAGAAGUGCAUUGGAAACUGGGAGACUUGAGUGCAGAAGAGGACAGUGGAACUCCAUGUGUAGCGGUGAAAUGCGUAGAUAUAUGGAAGAACACCAGUGGCGAAGGCGGCUGUCUGGUCUGCAACUGACGCUGAGGCUCGAAAGCAUGGGUAGCGAACAGGAUUAGAUACCCUGGUAGUCCAUGCCGUAAACGAUGAUUACUAAGUGUUGGAGGGUUUCCGCCCUUCAGUGCUGCAGCUAACGCAUUAAGUAAUCCGCCUGGGGAGUACGACCGCAAGGUUGAAACUCAAAAGAAUUGACGGGGGCCCGCACAAGCGGUGGAGCAUGUGGUUUAAUUCGAAGCUACGCGAAGAACCUUACCAGGUCUUGACAUCUUCUGACAGUCUAAGAGAUUAGAGGUUCCCUUCGGGGACAGAAUGACAGGUGGUGCAUGGUUGUCGUCAGCUCGUGUCGUGAGAUGUUGGGUUAAGUCCCGCAACGAGCGCAACCCUUAUUACUAGUUGCCAGCAUUAAGUUGGGCACUCUAGUGAGACUGCCGGUGACAAACCGGAGGAAGGUGGGGACGACGUCAAAUCAUCAUGCCCCUUAUGACCUGGGCUACACACGUGCUACAAUGGAUGGUACAACGAGUCGCGAGACCGCGAGGUUAAGCUAAUCUCUUAAAACCAUUCUCAGUUCGGACUGUAC